Molecule: ribosomal RNA, 253 nt
Filed under: uncultured bacterium
Lineage: Bacteria
Description: partial 16S ribosomal RNA
Rfam family: Bacterial small subunit ribosomal RNA
Source: RNAcentral
GACAGAGGAUGCAAGCGUUAUCCGGAAUGAUUGGGCGUAAAGCGUCUGUAGGUGGCUUUUUAAGUCCGCCGUCAAAUCCCAGGGCUCAACUCUGGACAGGCGGUGGAAACUACCAAGCUGGAGUACGGUAGGGGCAGAGGGAAUUUCCGGUGGAGCGGUGAAAUGCGUAGAGAUCGGAAAGAACACCGGUGGCGAAGGCGGUCCGCUGGGGUGUUGCUGACGCUGAGGCGCGACAGCGUGGGGAGCAAACAGG